RNAcentral lists this ribosomal RNA (216 nucleotides) under Glomeromycotina sp. Its description in RNAcentral is "partial small subunit ribosomal RNA". The stretch from base 44 to 216 matches the Rfam family "Eukaryotic small subunit ribosomal RNA", at positions 690 to 864 of the family's 1831-position model. Lineage: Eukaryota; Fungi; Glomeromycota. The record is from RNAcentral.
GGGUCAGUAGGUUGGUCGUGCCACCGGUACGUACUGGUCUCACUGAUUCCUCCUUCCUGAAGAACCGUAAUGCCAUUAAUUUGGUGUUGCGGGGAACCAGGACUGUUACUUUGAAAAAAUUAGAGUGUUUAAAGCAAGCUAACGCUUGAAUACAUUAGCAUGGAAUAAUGAAAUAGGACGAUCGAUCCUAUUUUGUUGGUUCCUAGGAUUGACGUA